This 447-nucleotide ribosomal RNA is filed under the name uncultured bacterium. RNAcentral's name for it is "bacterial SSU rRNA". It matches the Rfam family "Bacterial small subunit ribosomal RNA", at positions 355 to 825 of the family's 1533-position model. The record is from RNAcentral.
UGGGGAAUAUUGGACAAUGGGCGAAAGCCUGAUCCAGCAAUGCCGCGUGAGUGAUGAAGGCCCUAGGGUUGUAAAGCUCUUUUACCAGGGAUGAUAAUGACAGUACCUGGAGAAUAAGCUCCGGCUAACUCCGUGCCAGCAGCCGCGGUAAUACGGAGGGAGCUAGCGUUGUUCGGAAUUACUGGGCGUAAAGCGUACGUAGGCGGUUAUUCAAGUCAGAGGUGAAAGCCCGGGGCUCAACCCCGGAACGGCCUUUGAAACUAGGUAGCUAGAAUCUUGGAGAGGUCAGUGGAAUUCCGAGUGUAGAGGUGAAAUUCGUAGAUAUUCGGAAGAACACCAGUGGCGAAGGCGACUGACUGGACAAGUAUUGACGCUGAGGUACGAAAGCGUGGGGAGCAAACAGGAUUAGAUACCCUCGUAGUCCCUGAGCGGGCUGGCAAGGCGCAU